AGCAGCCGCGGUAAUUCCAGCUCCAAUAGCGUAUAUUAAAGUUGUUGCAGUUAAAAAGCUCGUAGUUGAAUUUCGGGGUCAGUGGGUCGGUCGUGCCAAUGGUAUGUACUGGCCCUACUGAUUCCUCCUUCUUGAAGAACUGUAAUGCCAUUAAUUUGGUGUUGCAGGGAAACAGGACUGUUACUUUGAAAAAAUUAGAGUGUUUAAAGCAGGCAAUCGCUUGAAUACAUUAGCAUGGAAUAAUGAAAUAGGACGUUCGAUCCUAUUUUGUUGGUUUCUAGGAUUGACGUAAUGAUUAAUAGGGAUAGUUGGGGGCAUUAGUAUUCAAUUGUCAGAGGUGAAAUUCUUGGAUUUAUUGAAGACUAACUACUGCGAAAGCAUUUGCCAAGGAUGUUUUCAUUAAUCAAGAACGAAAGUUAGGGGAUCGAAGACGAUCAGAUACCGUCGUAGUCUUAACCAUAAACUAUGUCGACUAGGGAUCGGAUGAUGUUAAUUUUUUAAUGACUCA
RNAcentral lists this ribosomal RNA (508 nucleotides) under uncultured Glomus. RNAcentral's name for it is "SSU rRNA". It matches the Rfam family "Eukaryotic small subunit ribosomal RNA", at positions 569 to 1078 of the family's 1831-position model. Lineage: Eukaryota; Fungi; Glomeromycota; Glomeromycetes; Glomerales; Glomeraceae. The record is from RNAcentral.